Molecule: long non-coding RNA, 28698 nt
Filed under: Citrus sinensis (sweet orange)
Lineage: Eukaryota; Viridiplantae; Streptophyta; Magnoliopsida; Sapindales; Rutaceae
Description: long non-coding RNA (CSIN_LNC004672)
Source: RNAcentral
GAACUACAAUCUCGUAAUUUUUCCCACUAUAAAUUUUUUAUGUAAAAAUCUAUAACUCUUAUAAUUAAUUUUUACUUUAAAUUUAUUAAUUUAUUUUUCACCUAUUUAUUUAUGAUAAACAUCCUAUUUUAAUCAGAUAAGGAGAAAAAAAAUUAUUUCCGUAAGUAGUCCUUUCCCAACAUAAUUCUAUACAUAAAUUUCUCAAUUUAUUUAUGCACUUAAAAAGCUGGACAUGUAGAUCACAAAACCUUAACAUACACAUUGCGCUAGGCACACAUCAUUAUAAUUACAGGAUCUGAACAUCAAUGACCUUGCGCUCCACAUGGGUCUUAGGAAUUGAAAUGUAAAGAACACCAUUCUUCAGCUCUGCAUCUCAAUUUAUUUAUACACUUACAAAGCUGGACAUGUAGAUCACAAAACCUCAACAUACACAUUUCGCUAGGCACUCAUUAUUAUAAUUACAGAAUCUGAACAUCAAUGACCUUGCGCUCCACCUUUGUCUUAGGAAUUGAAAUGUAAAGAACACCAUUCUUGAGCUCUGCCUUGACCUUAUCUUUCUCACAGUUAUCAGGAAGCUGGAGACGAGUAUCGUAAGAGCUAAAACUUGCACCUCCAGCUUCUUCUGCCCUGUGCUCUCCUUUAAUGACAAGGACUUCAUCUUCCACCGACACUUUGACAUCCUCCUUAGAGAGUCCAGGCAUGUCAAAUCUCAUUUUGAUCUCAUUUUCCUCCUCUUUGAUGUCCCACGGUGUUCUCACCUGGCCUCCCCCGCCAGCCCGGCUCCUCCCCGGAAAAGCCAUCGUAUCCUCUAAUAGACGGUCCAUUGUGUCCAGCAUCUGCCGCAUUGUCCUCGUUGGAAACGAGGGAUCCAUCAAACCUGCAACCCAAAGUCGUACAUUUUUUAGAAUUGGGUAAUUAAAUCGGUGUUCAAUUUACUUCCAAACCUUAUGAUUUAACAUAAUCAGUAUUUUAUUAACUAUAAAAUCAUGCAAAGGCAACUGCUCAAUACCCCUAGCAGCCGCAACGCAAACUAACAUAGUCUAACAGAGCAUGUAAAACUUGUAUUAUUUAAAUCACUGAAUCCUACAGGCAACGGACGAAGGCAAAGACAAAUUUAAUUCGCUGAACUUACCGAAAGGUGAAAUAUCGAGAGCCGUUCUUCGAGGCCUCCUCUCCACUUGGGUUCCUUGGUUACCGGAAUUAACAUGGACGUCAACCGAAGUAUCCUUGUUCUCCCCACCAGCCUGAGCUCUCACGGCUUGUAGCCGAUAGGCGCCUUUCCUUGACGUUGCCGGUAAGGUUACCGAGCAUGGCGCCACAUUUCUCCUAGCUAUUGAGGUCCUGGCCUCGCGCGAUACCAAGGGUGAUGAUGAUGAGAUAGAUAAUGUUGCAGCCAUUUAUUUUCACUUUGUUUUCUGAGCACUUGAGAGAAUCGACCGAUGGUUUCGUGGAGUGAGGAGUGGAGAUAUAUAUACACACACACACACAGAGGGAGAGAGAGGCAAUCAAUGAGAUGUGAACAAGUGUGAAAGAUUGGAGAGGCAUCAUGAAACUUGUAGAGUACGAAAAUUCUGGACUCAACGCCCAUCAUCCACCAUCCAAAUUAUACGUGAUUAUACUUUUGUGUCUUCUUCUUUCUACUGGUUUCUCAUCCAUUCGGGAAGCAUCGCGAAUGAAAAACUUUUUAUUUACAAUUGGACCCUUAUAUUUUAUUGUAUUUUACUUAAAAGGACCCGGAUCAUGCUUUCAAUUGUCCCAUACAUAGUACAAGUUGCACUGUUUUCAAUUUUUUACUAGUGAAUAGUGAAAAUUAAGCAACAUUCAUUGAGUACUAAUAACUUUUUUUUUUUUUAUAGUACAAGUUGCACUGUUUUUAAGCAACAUUCAUUGAGUACUAAUAACUAAGCAACAUUCAUUGAGUACUAAUAACUUUUUUUUUUUUUUAAAGUCCGGUAACAUACACCAAACUACCAAUGAAUUAAAAAUAUGGAAACGUUAAUAUUGGAAGACAUUCCGUUAACAGUCCCCCAGGACAGGGCCAAAUUAUUGGUGAAAAUAAAAAAAAUCUUUCCCCGUCGAGCUAAAAGUUCAGAGUAGAAACUAUGGAAUAGGCUUUCUAAUAGUUGACAAGGAAUUUGAUUGGACUUCAUAUGCACCGAGUAGGAAAUACAUUUAGACAAAAUGCGUUCAGUUACAAUUGUUACAAUUGUUACAACUUCCAGAACGCAUCUUGUUACAAUUGUUACAAUUAUUUUAAAUUCAGUUACAGACAUCCAACGGUUCUGGAGACUAUUCUACGUUGGAGCUGCUCCAACCGUAGCAACUGCCAUGCAAAAAUAAUGUUGCUCUUUACCUCUUUCAUUGGUGCUAUAUGAGGAUCGAUUAUAAACUUUGAAUUUCAAAUUUUGUAAGCUUACCAAAACUAUUGAAUAAAUCAUAAGACUGCGUAUGCGAAGUUGUAUUAGAUGGUAAAUACAUUUACAGUCCUUGUACAGUCGUAUGGUAACAAACUUUAAAUAGCUAUUUUUUGAGUUUACUAAUUGGCAUUUGGUCGGUAAAAUACCUACCCGUCCAUACAGAAACACCAAGAAACCAGAGUAUACAAAAUGCUAUAACUCAAGCCACAAUAUAAACUGAAGAUCUACACACGGCUGGAAUGAAAUUCCCAGCCAAAAAAGACAAGAAUGAAAACACUCGAAUGUGGAUCAAACGCGUCCAGGAAGUCUCUUAGAUAAAAUCAGAACCACCCGGGCGAAACUCCAGGUCUGGAUGAGUCCGAUCAGGCCCUCGUGGGUUUCUGCUAGUACAAGAAAGCAAAAAAUGUCAGAUUUCCACACUAUCUUAAUCUGAUCUCUGUUUGUGUUCAAACAAUAGUGUGCCAAAUUUAUUGAAAGAAUCCCUUAAUGAUCAAACUCAAAGGUCGGCACCAGUUGCUAGAAAAAGCUUCAGAAAAGGGGCAAUAGCAAGAAUAUUUUCAUAUUUAUUUGUAAGUGCAGAAAAGUCGCUAAAAUAUGUGUUCAGCAACUCUUCACGUGCCUAAUGCAAAAUGAAAUACAUGUCCCAAAUACCAACAUUUUUCUUUCUUUAUUUUCUCUUUUCUAAUUCAUUCAACUUGAACUCCCAAAAAAUGGACCAUCAUAUGCAAUUUUUCAUCAAGUACAAAUCCUGCAUAUGGAACAUGAAAAGUUUCAUAAUUUUAUCAAAUAGUGAUGGCAUAAAUUCUUCAAAUGAACCACAACAGACCAGAUAUCACCAUCAGUUCAGGCUGAAUCACUAGAUUGAGCUAACUAUUAAUCACCCUAGACCACAAAAUCAAUGAGCCAAAUGAAGGUUAUGUAGACAAAUACAACUUAUAACCGUAUGUUUACAUGAGGAAUGCUGAAUUUCACUCUUCCCUCAAUUUUCUUCUGUAAGUUACCAUGUUAUAAGACCAUGAGAAUCUUAAUUCACAUAUACCUGACAAAACGAUUAGGUUCAAAUCCAGGUAUGCCAGGCGGGCCGUAGGGAUCAAAACGAGCACCUGGAGGAACAGGCCUGCAUCACAAAUCCAAAAGAAUCAGAUCCCACACAGAUGCUAAUUUCAAAUAAGCCAAGACAUUUUCUUAAGAACUCACGGGUUCCCUCCAGGAAAACUAGGGUCUCCACCAAAAAAGCCAGGAUGAUCAGGUCCUGUGUCCACAUGAUAAAAGUCAGUAAGUCUGGAGAGGUGACAAACUUAUAUCAAACAACUUAGUAAAACAAGCCUUGUCUUACGGACCUAUUAGCAUGCUCCCAUCACCGCCAAAGCCACCCCUGAAAGGCAGUUAAAAUAGACAUAUACAUGUUACAAUUACAAAGAAUAGUAAUGACAAACAAUUAAUGAUUUCAGAUAGUGACACGCAGUUAAAAUAGACAUAUACAUGUUACAAGUAGAAUGAAAUAGCAAUGACAAACAAUCAAUAAUAUGGAUACUAACAUACCUUCUAGGAUACAUUCCAGCACCAGGGCCAGGAAAAAGAUCGCUACUACGACUUGGGUUGAUAGGAGGAACAGGAAUUCUACAAAGCAAAUUACCACACAAAGUUAGAGUCUCUGGGUUAUCAUAGCGAAAGGGGUGAUCAAAGGGAGGAAUUGCCAAUAAUUAUUCAAUUCAAGCCCAGAGAUUCCGGAAAUCUGGUAAGUUUGGCAUAUGAGCAUCCAAACUUGCUAUUUAAUCAACAGGCAAGCGCAGAACAUUAUAUUUUGUACUUCAAAAUAGCAUGGGAAAUUUACGACCAAGCACCAAAAGCCUCAUCCUUUGUUAGAACAGAAACAAAUGGUCACAGUAAACAGACCAUCACUACCCAAUUUCAAGAUAUGAAAGAUUAUUGGGUACUAAGACUCAAAGACAACAUUAUUCUGCUAGCCCAUCGUCAAUUACCAUAAAUAGUCACUCACAUUAACAACAGAGUUCAUAAUAAUUGAAGAAAUUUUUUAAUGCAUCAUAUAAUGAAUCUGUAGCAAUUGCAAUGUAUUAAUCCAAGUCCCAUGAAGAUACAGGGAAUAAAAUUAGUCAACGAUAGUAAGAUUAGCUUUUCAGCCAAGAAUGGGAUUAUCCCCGAAAGCCCCCUUCAGACUUACACCCCCACGCCCAACACCCCUUCCCCCNNNNNNNNNNNNNNNNNNNNNNNNNNNNNNNNNNNNNAAAAAAAAAAAAAAAGAAAAGAAAACACCCAAAAGAAAGAAAAAGACAAAAAGAAUAGCAAAGAUUAACCCUGUAACAUAAGAUUGAGGCCCUUCAUGCUCAAAUCCAAAAGCAGGAUCGGUUACAAUAGGCCUUGAUCCUUCACAUCUUUCCGAGCUGCAAAGCACCACAAAAUUCCGUGAAAAGCUUAUUUAAAAGAUGGCAUCCUUGUUGUGCAUCUCUAGGCAGAUCAAAAUAAAAAAAUAACAAUAAAAAUGAAAAUAAAUAAAACAUAUAACAGCUUCAAAUUUCAGCGAAAAGAAUAUAACUCUCAACACAAUACUCCACUUUGGAAAAUUAGGUGUACACUGAAUCAUUGACAAGAAAGCUACAUUUCAAUGCGAAAUAUAUAGCAAAGAAAUAAGAAGCAAUUUUUUAAUUCUCCAAAUCAUUCAGGAGUAGAAUUCAAAACUUGCUUCAUAUAUUCGUAUCAUAUUGGUAAUCGAACAAAAUCAAUACACGCUCAACUGUUCCUAUAAAAACAUAUAAAUUGAACCACAAUGUUGAUCUAGACCCUAGCUUCAGGAUCAACAACAACAACUCUUAUAAAUUUAGUCAUCCAACAUGGUUUACAUAUAUCAUUCACAAAACCAAUGAAAAACAUGAUAUCAUCAUCUUUUUUCUGAUUAUCCUGUAUGCCUAAAUUGCAAUUAGUUUUUUGUUCUCAAAUACAACUGACUCAUUAUAUCCAAACUUUAGGGAACUCACCUAGCUGUUUUUGGGGAGCCGUAUAAUUUUGAAAUAAUGUCUUUAUCAAGAUCUGUCACAAGCUUCUCUAAAUUCUUGAACUUAUCAGAGUAAUUGCCUCCAUUUUCUGCAACGUAGUCUGCAACACUGUUACAAAACACCACCACAGCAUUAACAAUAUAACAAAUAUACAAAAUUGCAAAACAAAGAGAGGAUCCAAAAUCCAAACGCGUACUUGAUUUCGAGAUGCACAGGCUCCGAAGCUCCCUCAGCUAAUGCAUCAGCCAGCAAUUUACUGUUCAUCACGAGACACUUCACCAACACUUUCUUUGAACCUUUCUCAGGGUUUAUAAACAGAAACGCGUAAUUAUCAUCAGCUAGUUCGUUCCAGUGAUCAAUUCCUACUUCAUCUACACAACCACAAAGACACAGCCGUUUAGUAAUUAAAAAAAUAAAAAAAUAAUGAGUAAAUAAAAUAAAAUAUUAUUUUGCUGAAGUAAUUCAUUUCAGUACCGGUGGAGGAGGAGGGAGAGGUGAACUCGGUGUCCGCGGCAGGGCCAGUGGCGGUUAACACGUGUCCACUGGCAAGGAAAGAGGCGUGAACGACAAAUGCAAUUUUAUCGAAGUCGUUUCUAAAGGUAGGUCUUGCCGCUCUUAUCACGGCCAUCACUGAUUUCUCGUUCGGCAUUUUUUUUUAAUCUUUUUCCUUUCUUUGUUUUUAGAGUUUAUGAGAGAGCGAGGUCUUGUUUCGAAUGUCUGCAAAUUUGAUGGUGUGUUUAGUCGAGGGUUAAGGAAUAAGAAUGAAAGAAUGAUAAUAAAAUUAAAUUAAAUUUUUAAAUGUAAUUUGGUGAUACAAAUAAAAUGUGUGGUUAAUAUAAUUUAAGAAUAAAAAAUAAGAAUUUUAUUUUUAUGGGCAUUGGGAAUAAGAGCGAAGGAAUGAGAAUAAAAUUUAUUUUUAGUUUUUUUUUUUUUUUUUUGAAUUAAAAUUAAUAAAAUUUAUUAAUAAUAAUAUUUAAAAUAACUGCUGUACGGCCANNNNNNNNNNNNNNNNNNNNNNNNNNNNNNNNNNNGCCAAGGCGGAUGUACGGUACAGCAGUUAAUUCAAAUUUUUAUUUUUAUUUUUAUUUAUUUUAUUAAAUAAACACAUUAAUAACAUUCUAAUACAUUUAUAUUCUCAUUUAUUUUACCAAAUAAAUAUUAAAAUCACAUUAUCAUUCUUUAUUUUUAUCUCAAUUUAUUCCCAGCCAUUAUCAUUUUACGUUAUUCCCAAAGUAAAGCACCACGAGUGAAAAUAGAUAGUUAACUCGCGUUUUCAGCUACUUCGUGUUUCGCUCUGGGCUGGCCCGGAAAGAGUAUCUUUUCUGAAGUUGACAAGCAUACUUAGCCUGCAAGCAAUUGAUUAUUUAAAUGCAAUUUAAUAAUAGGAAAAUGAUCCAUAUUCUACGCGUACAAACUAGAUAUUACCAAUUAGUACAAGAAGAUAUAUACGCAGAGAAAAGGACGUUGACAUCACCAUUCGAUGAAAUAGUCGAAGAAAUUUUUAUAUUUUUAAAAAUAAUUAUGCAUAUAUUUUUUUUUUACAUAUAAAAGUUUUUUGAUAAAAUUUGAGGGUGUACAUAAGUUUAUUGCGAUUAUUGUUUAAUAUUGAAAAAAAUUACGCGUCUAAAAUAUGAUUAUUUUAAAAUACAAGAAUGAGUAUGCAUAUCUUAAAAAAAAAUCGGUAUGACUAAUUCGAAAACUAAGAGGCUAUUUUAUGCCUGAUGUUGCUGAAAAGAAAUAUAAGAAUAGACAGAUUGUGCACAUAAAUUAAUCAACGUAGUUGGUUACAGCAAGGCACGUAAUAGCCACGUAUCCUUUGGACCCAUUGGGAGCAUAGUGAGAACACAUUCAUAUCAUUUGUAACAGUUGUAGUUUCCUUGUUGAGGGUAUCUGUGUCGGGAUCACAGGCUUGGAAAAUCUAGUAAAUUUUCCUAGAAAGUAUAGUACAUAUCAAACGGCUCUUUUUUUUUCAUUUCUUUUUUUCUUUUCCCACUUAUAUGACCGUUGGCUUCCUUUAACUAUCAUUGUGUCAUGUUUGAUAUGUCUGAGGCCGAGCAGCAAAGCCGGAACAAGAUGGUUUUGGUAAGUGACACAACGUCAACAACGACGACGAGUAAAUACAGCAAGAUCUUUGUUGGAGGAUUGGCUUGGGAGACUCGAACUGAAACCAUGAAGCAUUAUUUUGAGCAGUUUGGUGAUAUCCUUGAAGCCGUCGUCAUUACUGAUAGGGUUACUGGAAAAUCAAAAGGAUAUGGCUUUGUAAUUUUUAUUCCCCGUCUCAUCUCUUCUCUUUCUUUGCAGCCCUAUCCCUAGCUAGCUAGUUCAUUUUAUUAAGUUUGUUUGUUUAACCUCUUUUUUUUUUUAAAGGUAACUUUUAAGGAUCCGGAAUCGGCAAGGAGAGCUUGUGAGAAUCCUUAUCCAGUGAUUGAUGGAAGGCGAGCUAAUUGUAACCUCGCACACCUUGGUGCUCAUCACAAGAAACGCCCACCUCUUCUUCAUGGCAAUGUUACAGCAGCGGAACCAUCGACAGUUGAUUUUGGUCAACCACCGGUUCCUCAAUAUGCAUUUUCUUAUUCAACUUAUGGGUGAGUUAAUAUUACUGAGUCAAAAAUUUUAGAUAAAUGAUUGAAAAAUGCUACUAGGUCCCAACCGUGACGCAACGGUGACAUAAACAUAGGUGAAGCGUCCCUCUUUUGCCUUUAUUUCGUACUCUAUUUCAAACUUUCUUCCAGUGCAUUAUUCUUCUCAUCAAUUUACUGCCUGGCUACUAAUUUACGUUAUUGUUUAAUAUUAUAUGCAGAUAUCCUACUUUCUCCCAAAACAUUAAUCAUUCAAUGGUUAGUUAUGGUUCCUUUAAAUAACUUGAACAGCACCUCAUUACAAGUUUUGAUUAAAAUGAAAGUGGGUGUACUCUGCGCAGAAUUAUUACAAUGCUUAUUACGGUGGGCUAGGGCAAGGACAACAACAGUUUUCGUCAUAUUAUCAUCCCAACAGGUUCAGGUUCCCCGGAGCUGGAGCCUAUACAAAUUACCAUCCAUUUCCAUUGUAUUUGUAUACUCAGGCUCCGGUUCCGGCUCCGGCUCAGGCUGAGCAGCAACAGAGUAGCCCAAAUCAGCACCCCAAAAUGGUUCAUUUCCCUUAUUUUCCCCAGCAUUUCCCAUCAUCGCUCCCUGUUACUGGUAAAUUAUACAUCUUAUUACAUUUUCAUAUCUAUGAACUACUUCGAUCCCAUCUUACGUGCUACAAUUUACAAAUUUUCAAAAUAAAACUUGAAAAGUUCAACAGAAUUAAAGUAUAUUGCAAUUUGCCACAGAAAAUGUAGCAGCAGGGGCAAUGCAGCCAGGGACUAGGACUGGGACUGGGACUACCUCUCUACGAGACAACACCAAGGGUUAACGAGAGUAGUCUUUCCAUAUUCAUUAUACAAAAAAUUUUUAUGUUGAAUGACCAGAUAUAGAAACUAUCUCUUUCAAGUCAUGAAGCUUCUGCUGAUCAAAAUUCACAUUUCACAUUCUAAAGAGAGGAGAAUUGAAAACUUUUUUUUUUUUAACACAGGCUUUUCUUAACUAAACUUAAAAAAGAAUUUUUUUUUUUUUUUUAAGGAAGAGUAGUGCAAGACAUAUCAAAAUUUUGGGAUUGUUCAUUAUUUUAACCAAAUUUUAUUAUAUUCUUACAAUAAAGAUGCAAGAGUGGAGAGUCAACCACCAAGUAAGAUGCAUGCAAACCAUAACAAGAAACUAGCAGACACAGAUAAGAAUAAAGAGCGUAAAUAUCGUGAAGAAGAAAAACAUUGCAGAAUAUUUCAAAGUCUUCAGUUGUUAGAUAUUUCUAACAUAUCAGUUUCAGGGACCACCCCAACAGAAUUCAAAAUGAUGUGAAACAUAGAUUUAAUGCAUUCAUAUCCUCAAAAUCCCAUAACUACCAAACUCUAUAAGGCAUCAACUCGAGAGAUAUGUCAUAAAUAACCCCUUAGAGGUGACAGAGAUACCGGGCCGAGACACAUAAGACUAAAGAUAAACAUAGUCACCACAAGUACCUCGAAAGAUAUUUUCUGUAUCUAUGUAUAUAUGCAUGUAAAGAUAGUAUUGGCAGUUGAUCAAUCCACAGAACAUUCAAGAGCAUCACUCAAUGCAAGGGCGGGCGGGGAGCCCGUGGACGAACUGGAGUCUUGGAGGGGCUAACCCUGCAUAUAGAAAACAUUGAGAAAUUUCAGAAUAGAAACUGAAUGGAAAUUUAUAUCAUUUAUAACUGAACAGUCCGCCAAAACAACCUUAUAGGCAGUGAUCCCAAGACAGCACCACUACAGUUAAGAGCCGCAAUCGCACUCUCAGCCUGCGAGAGCAAAAUUACAGCAUUAAACUUAGUAGCAUAAAUAAAAAACUAAGAGAUCUUUUCAUGAUAUAAAUUUCCAUAUAACAAAAAGAAUAAGAUCUCCAUAUAACAAAAAAACCUCAAUAAAAUAAUAAACAAAAAGAAUUCUAGCCGAUUACCAUCCCUCAAGUUUAGGUCAUUUUUCUAUUGCCAAACUUUAUAAGGCCUACAAAGGCAGGAACCUAUUCCACAAAGGCAUGCAUCACGUAUCCAAUCACUGAGGGAAAGCGGGAAAACGAGGAAUGUUCUUCUCUUAAGUGGUCCAAGAACUCUUAAGAACCAUACUAACAAUAUGUAUACGCCAUAAUACAAAAUGAUGAGGGAAAACAAAGAAGGAAUUGCUAGGAAGAUAAAGAUCAAACAAGAAGAAUAAAACGAAAGGGGAAAGGAGAAGGGAGAGUAGAGAAUUUCCCAACAAAACAUAUCAAACAACAAUUAAUUAGGCAUUCUUAAUUGGCACAUCCAAAUUCCAAACACAUGUAGUGCAGUAACAGCAAUGUUGUAGCACUCUUCCAGAGAGCCACCACAACAAUAUCUAAAAUUCGCUCUUCAGGCCAGUGGUGCUGAUACCCCUUUUCUUUAUUAGGAUAGGAACGCACUCAAAAUUUCCAUAUUUGCAACCUUUCAUGCAUGUCUCAUUACAAAACUAGUGACAGACCCAACUUUCGCUACAGAUUACCAGAGCAUGAAUUAAUAAAGACAGAAUACAAAAUGCACAACUGCCAGGAACAGACAUUAGAAUACAAAUUAUGUAUCUUAUACAUGCUGGGACUGAAGUUAUGGGUCUAAACUUUUAAAAUCUACAAACUAAAAGGGUCAACAAGCAAACAAAUACAUCUUUCUCAAAGAAGAAGAAGAAAAGCAAACAAGUACAUUCACAACCAUUAUCAUCUCUAGAUGGUCCUACAGGGAAACACUAUAUAAUCAACAAUUAUAUACAAGACAGACCCCCAAAAAUAAAAAUAAAAAGAAGAAGAAAAAGAAAUAGAAUAAGCGCAUAAGCAAAAGAGAGAGAAACCAUACAAGGUGAGUCAUUGAAAUUUUAUAUUCAUAAUACUGUAAAGAAUGGUGAGUUAUGCUAUAGCUCAGUUGUGAAAGGAUAGAAAGACAGUACAAAGAAUCGAAGAUGACAAGAAUAGGAGGCAUAUACAUAAAUGGCCUGCCUAAGCAUAGGUAGGGAACACCAAUCACACAGUAUACUGCCAACCACAAUACCAAAUUGAACCUAAACCUUGCAAAAGAAUCUGAUUAUAAGGAGUUAGAUAUCUGAAGAGCUGUGAACCCCAAAUAGCAAAUGUACAACGUACCACAUCCUAACACUAACCCAUAUCCUCAGUUGAAAGCAGAUCCAACAAAAUAGCUAGCCAACAAUAAACACCAAACUACUUGGUCUCCAACCACUGAGAUGUCUUGAGUUUUCCAUGCCCAAGAAUUUGUUAUAAGACACUUGCAACACCUGAAAAGCUGUGCUUCCUCUUCAACCUUUUCAGAAGAUGAAGGUUGUUGAACUAUCGUUGGGACAGUAGUGCCAAACAUGAAAAUCAGGAUAAUGAGUGAGAUUCCCAGCUAUGAUUGCUCUAACCUUGGAAGCUCUAUGCCUUAUAGCCUUAGGGUUCCUAUAUUCAAUUUCUUCCCAGCCCUUGCCUAGCUCUGAAUUGGCAUCUGCAACUGAUAACCACAGCCUAUCCCCAGUAAACUUCAGCUUAUGUAGAUUUGCACAUAAAAGGCAUAAUGGACACCAUUUCAAAAGAAUAAAAAUGAGAGCCCAAUGGUCCUCAUUCCAAAAGAGUCCUCACCUCAACAAUUGAAAGCACGUCAUUUCUAUUUUCAGCAUACCCAAGCCUUGAAACAAUGUUUGAGAAGAUUUUAUGCCUUUGCAUGGUUUAAAUAAGAUUUGACUUCAUUUAGAGAAAGAAACCAUCCUCCCUCACACAUCCCAGCCCACCCCUCCUUUCUAACUCUCUCAACUCAGGUAAUCACUCAAGAAUUUGCCAUUUUAGCAGUGGAAAAAUUUUCUCCUACAAUUCCCAUUUCCCAAAUCUCUUAGAUAAAUGGCCAGUGACACAUGUUGCUAACUAUGAUAAGAAAUGAUUAGGAACACAUAUGGACAUGAGAGCAUGCUUGGAGUCCUAUAUAAAGGAGAAAAGAAUUGCUGAUAUGAACAAAAACUUCCAGUUCCCAUGCCUUCUAGUGUUACCAGCACCACACAAAUAUAGAACUAGCUUUCUUAUUUCUACACAAACAUAAUUACUAAAUUUAUCACAAAAUGGCAUAUUUAAAUGACAAAACUCUCCUUUUCAAAAAGACAAAACUCUAUUUUCCAUAAUUCAUGCAAAGAUCGUCUCAUUAUGACAAAUAGUCCGAUGUUCAGCUGCCAUUAUUAGGUGUUGCUUAAAAAUACAAAUUCUAAAUGAUCCAAUUCAUAAACAGUAAAAAUAAACCAACAACAAAAUUAAAGAAAGAAACAGGACUUAGAAAGAUAAAUUUACAAAACCGAGAUGGAAGCUAUCUUUUCUCCAAUGCCUUAUAAUCUUGUCACUAAUUGCACUUUCAUGAAUUUUUCCAAAACUUUUAAAAGUAAUGUAGAAUGAGAAAACUCUACUAAAACAAGAUCUAACAUUCUCAUUGUUGACAGUAAGAAGUCCAUCUCAGUACAAGAAAUUAAAGAAUUCUCAAAGUAGUUUAGUGAGCUAAGGGGUUAAACAAAGAUAAAAAAUACCACUAAUUGUGCAUCAAGAGAACAAAAUAUAUACAUCCAGUGCAAAGGAUUCUAACCCAAAAAAGAGGCUUUUCAGUCAAAUUUGAACUACAUUCUAUGUAAACUCUAAAUAUAAUUGCUUCUGCAAUUAAUAGCAAGGACCAAGUGUUUUUGUUCAUAUAACAGGUUAUAAAAAACAAGCAUGCCAUGAAAACGGCUCGCUUACCAUCGCAAACUCAACAAAAGCAAUACGAGUUGAAUGCUGAUAGUCUCCAAGCAGCCUCAAACGUUGAACCUGCACAAAUAAAAUGUGUCCAUAAGAAACCAUGAAUAAUUGAAGGACAAAAUCACUUCAUUAGGUUGGUCAUUUAAGCAACUACAAACCUCCCCACAAACUGAUUCAAAGAAGAGUUUGAUAUCUCCUUGAGUAACCUACAUCAAUUGGACAAACAAGUCAAAAACAAAUGUAACCGGUAUUGCUCCAAAUCACAUACUACAAUAAAUGGCAAAAUAGAAAGUACCUUUUUGUCAAUAUUUGUACAAUAAAUAGUUCUUGAGCACAUCUCACGUUCAUCUUCAGACUGAUAACAUUAGAAAGCCAAUCAAUGCACCAAAAUUAAGAUCCAUGCAGCUUGAAUGUAGGGUUUUUCAAAGAAAAUGAAAUUAAACAAAACUUUAAACAUGAUACAGAACCAGAUGAUAAGCACAGAGAGAGACAAAAAAAGAAAAGACGGAGCGAGUGAGGGCAGAGAAAGAAACAGAGGGAUAAAGGAAAGGAAGAAAGGAAAAAAGAGAGAACAACAACAUGGUUUUUGGUUAACAAAAACAUACCUCCAGACGCCAAAUCUUCUUCAUGAGGUAAAUGCGAAAUUUCUACUAAAAAUAUUCAAAACAAACUUACAAAAGUUUGCAUAACACACCUAACAUGACUAAAUUUUCGAAAAAAACAAAACGGCAAAGUCAUUUGAUAUAAAAAUUUCACAUCUAACUGUCAUCUUGAAAAUUUUGAAAAUGAAGGGGCUUAAUUGCAUAAAAAUUUUGAGGAUAGUUGUUAACUAUAGUGAGGCAGGUGGUUAUAACAGAUGUCUCACCCUUGGUAAAAAGGUUGGAUUAACAGGAGCAAUUGCAGUUUUUGAAGGCAGCACUCUAACGGGAUAGAACCCAAGCAUAGUCCCAGCCAAACUCAGAGCAGCCCUUGCACCUUCUGCAAGCACAUUUUCUUUGAAAUUCAGAACAAGAACAAAUGUCUAUUAAUGAAUAUACUAUGCAUAAGCUUUUAACAAUACCUUCAUCAGUGAACUCAACGAAGGCAAAACGGAGGACGGAGUUAGGAUCACCACAGAUGCGGCAAUCAACAACCUUAGGACAGGUAAUAAUUUCAGAGCAUAAGCCACUACUAUCAAACUAUAAAGGGAAUAUGAGAGCAAAAUAAAACACAGAAUACCUGUCCACAAGUGAGAAAGAGCGUUGCAAGCUGCUCUUCAGUAACCUGACAUACAGAAAAAAUAGGGAAACAAUAGUAAACAUCAGUGCACAAUAAAAACAAACCAAAGCAUAAAAGCAAUAACUUUGCAGAAAGUUCCAGCUCUUUACCUGCUGAUCAAUGUCAGAUACAUACACAGUCCUCCUGAUUACCUCGUCUUGCUGUGCAUUACUUGUUCUACAAUUCAUCCUUCGUUUCCCUUGACUAUAACCAUUCCUCUUCUGAAAAGCAUUAUUAAAAAGACAAAGUACCGUAAUCAAAGAAAGAAAAUACCAAACUAAGAGCCAUACAAGAGGCUUAAAACAACUCAAGAUCAAAAGUAAAGGGCACACAUACCCUUCUAGUAGUAGUAUGUCCAUUGGUAUUUGCAGUGCCAUCAGUGUGCAUUAUAAAAUUAUUAGUGUACCCAAAUCCAUUAGGGCCGAAAAAGGCAGGAUUAAAAUUAAAAAUUUGACCAUUUGCAAGAGAAGGAGGCACAAAUUCAGCAGCCAUGGGAUUCAACUUGGACAGCAUAUCCACCAAAUCCCUCAUCUCGCAAUCCUUGAAACUUUCACCCAUUUUCCUUUCCAUAUGAUUAUCACUUGCAUUCACAUUCACAAACCCACCUCCAGCUCCAGCUCCAGGUUUUGUCUGCCCAUUUUGUAUCUGUAUAUUGGCAUUGCCAUUCCCACUUCUCUCCUUUGAGUGAUCGUUGGAAUUUUGUACAUCAUUUGAGUCAGAUGACACCACAGUGUCAUCCAAAUUUUGAUUCGAUGAAUCGAUCUUAGCACCAGCAUUCUCAGCGACCGCCAUGAUGAUCAGUUUCUGAGUUUUUUUUCCCCCCCCAAAAUGGGUCUCUUUUUUUUUCUGAGAUAUCUCUGUGAAAAUCUGCUCUUUUAUUAGUCAAUGAUCUAAGAUAAAUGCUUUAAAUUUAAAUAUUAAAAAAAACAAAUUUUGAGAAAAACCCAGAAUCUUGUUGAACAGCAGUGGGAGAAAGAGAGAGAGACAGAGCUCUUACCUUAUUCUCUCUUAUCUAAAAACUUUCCAUAAAUGUGAUGAUGUAAAUAUUAAGAAGCAAAGCAAAAACCAAACCAAACCAACCACCAAAACCCACCCAAAAUGAAAAGAAAAGAUAAAACUGAUGAUCACUUCCCAAAAUGAAAUUGGGUGAAACAGAAUACAAACUUUUUUGCUCUUUUAGUUUUUUUUGUAAAUUGAUAAAAAGAGGGUUUAAGAGCGACAGAUAAAGGGGUGUUUGUUUGUUUUUUAAUGCGUUGCAAAAUGCUAUCUGUGUCCCUUUUAUGUUGAUUUUCUUUGGAUCGUCCGUUAGCGGGUGUGUGCCAUCAUCAGGCAUUUGAUUCUCUCUCAUACAUCUACAUGCAUACAUGCAUACAUGCAUACAUACAUACAUUCGUAUGUCAUACAUACAUGCCCGGCAUAUCAAUUACGAGAAUAAUGUAAAUCCAAGAUUUAUCCAUAUCUUAUCUUUCCUUUUUCUAUCUAACCAAAAUUUUUUGUAUCUUUAUACGUGCUACCGAACAAAGAAUUAAAGAUAUCCAAUUAUUGAACAUAAUAAUUCAACAAACAUUAAAUUUAAAACUAAUCGCCAUGGCCGUUCAUAAACAAGCUCCAAGGAAUUCUUUUUUUUUUUUCGCACUAUACUGAAUCAUGUAUUUUGUUACCUUCAACUUUAUAACAAUAAUCGUAUUAACAUAUUAAGAUAUUUGAAUGUUUUUAUACCAUGCGGUUGCUUUAGUUCCAUAUUGAUGAAUUUUAUUAAAUUUGAUCAAUUCCAAUGAAAUAUUUUUUAAUUUAAACCUUUUUAUUUGGUACAAUUGAAGCUUACAUUGAAAAUCAUAUCAAAACCAAAUCUUAGUUAAUAAUAAUUAGUUUGUAAAAUUUUAUUGUUAGUAAGAAUGUUUCCUCAUAAGAUCAAUUUGUCUAAUUCUAAAAAUGAUACAAGAGCUAUGUGUUGAAACUCUGUUACGAAUUUAGCAAGUAAGCGAGGAUUUGAAGAUAGUUAAUUCACGAAAAAACAGUCAAUUCAUGAGAGAAGUAAUCCGAAAUUAAUUUUUCUAAAUUAACAAACUGAAGCCAUUAAAAUAAACAGUUGCACAUAUACUUAAAUGUGGAUUUAUUCUAGGGUGAUAAGGGAGUUAAUAUUAUUUCAUUAAAAAAUAAAACAAUCAGUGUUUAAACAUAAAUGUAUACUACAUCUCGAGAUUUAUACGAUAACUAGGAAAUAGAACCGCACUUCGUGCGGCUUUAAAAAAAAUUAGUAUUAUUUUUUUAUUACUUUGUAAUUGAUGAAAUUAAUAAAAAAUAUGAAUUAUUUUUUUUAAAGAUAACGCAGUCUUAUAAAACUAAUGUUAUUUAUGAAAGUUAAUUAUUUUUUGUUAACAUUAAAAAUAUAUAUUAAUGUGUAUAGUUAAGUGUACACAACCUUUUCAUCAAUAAAAAUUACGUUCAUACUAAUCAACUCCCUAUUUUUCUUGGUAUUAACAGACUCUCACAUCUUACAAAGCCUAACAUUUAUCAUCCAACUAUCUUUAUCAUUGUUUAACUCAUAAAGAAAAUAAUACUCCAUGAAGCACACAAUACUAAAAAUUUAAAUAAGUCAAAAAAUAAAAAACACAAGAACAUUUCUAAAGAGGAUGUUGGUUAAAUAAUAAAAAAAAAACUCAAACAUAACAAAUCUUAAAUGCUUAAUAUUUAUAGAGCUUGAAGAAGGCAAAAGAUACUAAAUAAAAGGUUGCAUAAUUAAAUAUGGGAUUAUGACAUUAAAAUUAGGUCAUAGGGUAUUGGUGAGGGAAGAUGAAGGAACAUUCCUUCCUAUAUUAAUUAGUUGAUGUAUUUUAAACCACUAAAGUUUAGUUGUUGGCUUAAUAAAAUAAAUGAAUGUUUCAAAACUUAUAAUUAAUUUAUUAUUAAUGGUUACAUAUUGUUGAAUUUAAAUAGAAAGAGGAAGAGACAUGUAAUCUUUUGUAAUCUAUUAAUUAUUUUAUAUUUUUAAUAUUUUGUAAUGUAAUUAUUUUUUAAUCUCAACCAAUAUAUUAGAUAAUAGAAAAUAUAAAAAGAUGAGAAAUAAUAAUGCCACAAAUAUUAACUACUUAAUGUUUAUAGAGUUUGAAGAAGUCAAAAGGUACUAAACAAAAGGUUGCAUAAUUAAAUAUGAGAUUAUAACAUUAAAAUUAAACCCUAAUGGCAUUGUUGAGGGAAGAUGAAGGAACAUUCCUUCCUAUAUUAAUUAGUUAAUGUAUUUUAAACCACUAAAGUUUAGUUGUUGGCUUAAUAAAAUAAAUGAAUGUUUCAAAACUUAUAAUUAAUUUAUUAUUAAUGGUUAUAUAUUGUUGAAUUUAAAUAGAAAGAGGAAGAGACAUGUAAUCUUUUGUAAUCUAUUAAUUAUUUUAUAUUUUUAAUAUUUUGUAAUGUAAUUAUUUUUUAAACUCAACCAAUAUAUUAGAUAUUUUCCUAUGUUAAUUAAUUCAUAUAUUUUAAGCCACUAAAGUUUAAUUGCUAGCAUAAUAAAAUAAAUAAAUGUUUCAAAAGACUUAUAAUUAAUUAUUAUUAAUGAUUACAUAUUGUUGAAUUUAAAUAGAAAGAGAAAAAAAAAGUACAAAGAAUAUCCACCAAUAUUUUAGAUAUUUUAUAUAAUAAAAAAUGUAAAAAGAUGAGGAAUGAUAUAUAUUAAUAAAGUUACUAUUUAUUAAAUGAGUUAAAUACAAUCAAAUUAAUUAUGAGAAGAUGAAAAGACAAAUCUAAAAAAAAAAUCUCUAUUUAUUAGAUAAUAGAGAAUAUACAAAGAAGCAAAAUGGUGAUGCCACAUCACCUCCUCAAGUCCUAACUUUAUAUAUAUAUAUAGAUAGAUGGUUUUUCAAACAAGUAAUUUUUUUUUUUUUCAAAAACACUAAAACAAACAAAGAUGUGGAGAAAGUUAAAAGGAAAUAAAAUAUUAUAAAUAUUAGAUGUACAAUGUUACUUUUGCACAGCGUUACUUUUGUUAUUUAUGGGGUGGAUUUAAAAAAUAUAUUCAUUUUAAUCUUUUUUAUGGGUGGAUUUUGUUAAUCAUACGGUGGUGGCUUUACCCAAAAAAAAAUAAAAAUGAGGGGGAAUAUAACCAUCAUUUGGUUAACAUAUGUCUAAGGCUUUGUUUGUUUAAGUUUUUUGGCAACUCACCUGGCAAACUUGCAAAUAUAAUUUGACAACACAACUAAAUAUUUUUCCCAGUUAUCUACAAAGGGUCGGUUUGGUAAUGUUUUAGGUUUUAAAAUAAUUGAUGUUAUCUAUACUAUAAAAAUAAUCAGCUGUAAAAAAAAAUUAGAUAAACAUUUGGUAAAAUUUAUUUUUAAAAGCAUUAUAAAUUUUAAAAAUAAUUGUAUGUGUUUAAUAAAUCUUACUAUAGAGUUGUUGUAAAAAUAUAAAUGAUGGUAUUGGACAUAACGUUCAAUAAAAUUUAUUUACAUAUUUAUAAACAUAUCAUUUUUUAGUCUUGUCUUGGAGACAAGUUUGUCUGUCUUGUCUGUAAUGACAAGUUUUCUUUCGUGAAGUUCCUUGAUUAAAGCUUUCUAGUCAGAAUUUUUGUGACUUUUCAGGUUAGUCAAGUGCAAUGUCAGGAAGAGAGCAGGAGUUUGAAAUCAACAUUGGUUACGCACAUAUCAAUUUGGAGGAAGAGGAGGAAGGAGGUCUGAUUGUAGAAGGAAAUGAUGUUAAUGAGAGUGGUCUAGGGACUAUUGAUUCUCGGUUUUGUUUGGUGGGCAGAUUCCUUACAGAUAAAGUAAUUAACUUCCCUGCCAUGAAGAAUACUAUGGCUUCCUUAUGGCGUCCAGGGAAGGGAGAGUGUAUCAAGGAUUUAUCUUCCAUGUUUUUCCUAUUCCAAUUCUUUCAUGAAGUUGACUUGAAAAGGGUUCUUGAAUCGGGACCAUAGAAGUUUGACCAACAUAUUUUAAUCCUUAAAAGGCUGAAGGAAAAUGAACAACCCCAGAAUGUCCUGUUGUGCUUUACUUCAUUUUGGAUCUAGGUUUACAACCUACCAAUCGGUUUUAUGUCUGAAAAAAUUCUGAAAGAUAUUGGCAACUAUAUAGGCACUUUUUUGGAGUCCGAUGCAUAUAAUCUAAUGGGGGUUUGGAGAAACUACAUGCGCAUACGAGUGUCUAUAGAUGUUAGGAAACCUUUUAAACGAAGGAUGAAAAUGAAAAAAGUGGGCGGAGACUGGAUUUGGGUUGAUUUUAAAUAUGAACGUCUAAAUAUUUUUUGCUUUAUUUGUAGAUUACUUGGCCAUACUGAAAAGCAGUGUCCCAAAUUGUAUGAUUGCCCUCCUGGUGAAAUUGUAAAAUGCUAUGGUCACUGGGCUGAAAGCACUAAAUAAAAAGAAUGCAAUGAAUUCCGGUGAACGGUGGUUGCGGUCAGUACCGCUGGGGGAAGAUGACAAGGAAAAAGGAAGGAGCGUGGAUGUCAUAGUUACCAUGGUAAUUGAUCCGGUUUUGGCCACGAAUCAAGGAGAUGUUAUACGUAAGACUAUUGAUGGGAACGAGGAUGUGGGGAUUAUGGUAGCUAGUAAGGAAGGUGAUAUUUUGUUGCCAACUAGGACUCCACCAAGUGUGAAAGGAAAGCAAGUUAAGGGGACAACUAAUGUGAUUGAUUUCAACGAAGAUUCUGGGGAUGAAAUGGAUGAGGGGCUAAUUGUUAAUGAUGCUAAAAGGAGAAGGUAGCUAGUUAGGUCAUGCAGCAAAGUGGGAUUUGAAGGAGAGGUUACUUCCUAAUCGAUGCUUUUGGAAUCAAUUUUCAAAGACGGACCAGCGAUGGGCCCUGUCGUUCAGGCCCACCGAGACCAAUGAGUGUUUUAAGCUGGAACUGCCGUGGGCUUAGCCAACCACGGACAAUCAAAUGUUGGAGGAGUUGGCCAAACGUAAGAAACCAAUUUUUAUUUUUCUUAUUGAAACAUUGUGUAAUCGAAGGAAGUUGGAAGGUUUAAAAACAAAACUGGGCUAUGAAGGUUUAUUCACAGUUGACCUAGUGGGCCGGAGUAGAGGUCUUGCUCUCUUUUGGAAAGCAAACAGCAACAUUAGAUUAUUAAAAUUUUCUAAGAACUGUAUUGAUGUGGAGGUUGAGUAUCAGGACAUGGGCAAGUGGAAGAUAACGGGCUUCUAUGGGUUCCCGGAGUCUAGCCACCGUCAAGAGUCUUGGGAUCUUCUACGCACUUUAGCUACUGUGUCUUCCCUUCCCUGGGUAUGCAUCAGGGACUUUAAUGAUCUUUUAGCUGCUCAUGAGAAGCGAGGGAAGAAUGAGCACCCAAAUUGGAAGUUGCAGGGGUUUAAACAAGCUGUGGUUGAUAGUGGCCUCAGUGAUAUUGGCAUGGAGGGUUAUCAAUUUACUUGGGAACGGUCUAGGGGUACAGAGAAUUGGGUGGAGGAAAGAUUGGACAGAGUUCUUGCUAUUGAUCCUUGGAUUCGUCGAUUCAAAGAAGCACGGGUUUGGAGUCUUCAAUCUUCUACCUCAGAUCAUCUACCCAUUUUUAUGGACCCAAAUCCCUUAAAUCAUUCUCAUAGGCAUUGAAGAUUUUGAUUUGAAAACAUAUGGCUUAGAAAAGGCUGAUUGUACAGAUGUGAUUCAGGCUAGUUGGUCCUCCUCUCAUGGGAUUGCAAUUCAACAAAAGCUUCUAAAUUGUGGGAUUGCGUUGCUUAAUUGGGGAGGUCACUUAGCUGGUGACUUUCGCAAUCGUAUUUUUGACUAUAAAAGGAAAAUGUCUCUUUUGCGGGGGCAUCGUGAUUCAGCUGGUAUUGUGGAGUUUACUGAGGGUAGGAAGGGGUUUAAUGAGCUUCUCCAUAGUCAGGAGGUUUUCUGGAAGCAGAGAUCAAGGUUACUUUGGCUCAAAGAAGGGGAUAUGAAUUCUCACUUCUUCCGUACUAUGCCUUCAACAAAAAAAUGUAGGAAUUCUAUUUCAACUCUUCGAAAUGCUCAAGGUCAGUCGUGUACCACCUCGGCUGAAAUUGAUGCUCUGAUUUAUGAUUAUUUCUCUAAGCUAUUUACUGUUGAUGGUUGCCAAAAUGAUGAAGUUUUAAACUGUGUAAAGACAAAGAUUACUGAUGAGCAAAAUGAGUUGCUGUUAGAGCCUUUUUCAACAGGCGAUGUCAAAGCGGCCCUCUUCGAAAUGCAUCCAGACAAAUCAUCAGGACCUGAUGGUAUGAAUCCUGCCUUUUACCAACGAUUUUAGCUUACUGUUGGUGAGGAUGUGACUGCAGCUUGUUUGCAUUUUAUUAAUACUUGCUCAUUUCCGAUGGGUUUAAAUGACACCUCUAUUGUAUUAAUCCCCAAGAAACCAAAACCGGAGAUGCUGUCAGAUAUGAGGCCUAUUGCUUUAUGUAAUGUUCUGUAUAAGAUUGUAGCUAAAAUGCUCGCAAAUAGAAUGAAGUCAGUCAUGGGUUCUGUGGUUUCUGAAUUUCAAAGUGCGUUUGUGCCGGGUCGGGCCAUCACAGAUAAUAUCCUUAUCUCCUCUGAAAUUAUGCAUUUUUUUGAAGAGAAAGCGACAAGGAAAAUUUGGAGUUGCUACUCUUAAAAUUGAUAUGUCGAAGGCCUAUGACCGAAUUGAAUGGGAAUUUUUGGAAGCUAUGAUGCUUAGGCUGGGGUUUAAUGCUAAAUGGGUGAAGUUGAUUAUGCUAUGUGUCUCUAUAGUUCGUUAUCAUGUUUCUCGCGAUGGGAAGGAGAUUGGACUUAUCAUUCCAGGUAGAGGGCUUCGCCAAGAGGAUCCUUUAUCGCCGUAUUUAUUCAUUCUUUGUGCGGAAGGUCUCAAUACGUUAAUCCGUAAACAUGAGUUGGCUGGCUUGAUUCAUGGGGUAAAAGUUGCUCAAGGGGCUCCUGUUGUAUCUCAUCUAUUUUUUGCAGAUGAUUGUUUUAUGUUUUUCAAAGCCAACCAAAGUGAAGCUCGCUUAAUUAAGCACAUUCUUACGACUUAUGGUCAAGGGUCAGGACAAUUGGUGAACUUUAACAAAUCUUUCAUUUCUUUCAGUUUGAAUGUUAACGAAGAUGUGAAGGGGCUUAUAUGUGAUACUUUGGAGGUUACUGCUACUACUAACCAUGGCACUUAUCUUGGAUUACCCUCUCUUGUUGGUAGGAACAAAAAAGAAGUUUUUCGAUCUAUCUAUGACAGAGUAUGGCAAAAGCUUCACAGCUGGAGUAUGAGGAUGCUGUCAAGAGCUGGGAAAGAAAUCCUGUUAAAAACAAUGGCUCAAGCUAUCCCGAAUUAUGCCAUGCAAGUUUACCUUCUGCCUCUUGAUCUUUCUAGAGAGCUCGAAACUACGAUGAACUCAGUUUGAUGGAGAAACAGCUGCAAUGGUGGAGGUGGCAUUCGCUAGAUGAAGUGGAAGUUUUUUUGCGAACCAAAGACACAUGGAGGAAUUGGCUUAAAAAAUCUACAUGACUUCAAUGUGGCCAUGUUGGGGAAGCAAGUUUGGAAACUUUUAUCGAAUCUGAAGUCUCUUGUUGGCCAAAUUUUCAAAGCUCGUUACUUCCCUCAUACAUCUAUUACAGAGGUUGAUUUGGGUUAUAAUCCAAGCUUUGUGUGGAGGUCUCUAAUGGCAGCUAAGCAUAUUGUUGUUCGUGGUAGCAGGAUUCAGAUUGGUAGUGGUCAGAAUUGUAUUAUUGGGUCAGCUCCUUGGCUUCCAGACGCAGAUAACGGCUUUCUUUCCACCAGCUUACCUGAGUAGAAAACAACAGUACCAGUUAGUAGUUUAAUGGCUCCUGAACAACGUCAAUGGGAUUAUGAUGUAGUGGCAGAUUUAUUUAACGCUCGAGACAGGAAUCUUAUUUUACAAAUUCCCCUUAGUGCUCGGAGGGAUAAGGAUGUGUGGUAUUGGUUGGCAGAUCCUCAUGGUUUAUAUACAGUCCGCAGCUAUUAUAAAUUACUUAAUCAUUGUGCUACUACCCCAACAUCUGGUGUGUGGAGGAAAAUAUGGAACUUGGAGGUGCCUAAUAAGGUGAAGAAUUUUCUUUGGAGGGCUACUAUGAAUGUGCUACCAACAAACGAUAAUCUUAUUUGGAGAAGCGUUGAGGUAAUGCCUAUUUGCUCCCUCUGCAAUCAGCAGAAUGAAUCUGUUGUGCAUGCUUUGGUGAAUUGUGUCUUUGCUCAAAUAUGCUGGAUUUCUUCUUCACUUGGCUUUGCUGGUCAUCACUCUUCAUUUUUUAGUUGGCUAGAUCAAGUCUUUGCCCGCUGUAGUAAGGAGAUGUGCAAUCUUGUUGCUAUGAUAUGUUGGAAAAUCUGGUUUCGCAAGAAUGGAAAAGUUUGGAAUAACAAAGUUUGCAGUGUGCACUAUAUCCUUAACUCUGCUGGGACUUAUAUGUUUCAAUGGCAAACAGCAAGGAAACAAUCUGUUUUCAUUGAUGUUGAUUCUUUCCAUGGUUGUCAUGGGGCUGUUUGCUAGGAGAAACCACAUCCUGGUUGGCUCAAGUGUAAUGUUGAUGCUGCAACAUUCUCAGCUCAGGGGAAAGUCAACUAUGGAGGAGUUAUCCGCCAUUCUGAGGGGGUUUUUGUGGAUGCUUGUUGUGCCUGCGUGAGUGGAAGCUUUGGUGCAAGAGAUGCUGAAGCGUUUGGUGUGCGGGAGAUUCUAAGCUGGAUUAAGCAACGACAUUUGUCUUGCGUUGUUGUUGAGAUGGAUUGUUUUCAAGUCUUUAAAGCUCUCACAGAGAACUAUUCUUGUCCUAAUGGUUAUGACCUAAUUCUUGAUGAUUGUAGAGCUUUAGCUCGUUCUUUAGGAGAUAUUAAAUUCUCUUUUGUCCGAAGGUCUGCGAAUACUGCUGCCCAUGUUGUUGCACGGGUGGGGGGUUCUUUGUCAGGCCCUGGAGAGUGGAGUAAUGUUCCAUCUUCCUGGUUAAUUGUUUAUCUGUCUUCUGUUUCCAGUUAAUACAUCUAUCAAGUUUUAUUAAAAAAAAAAACAUAUUUCCGCCUUGGCCGUACAGCAGGAUAAUUAAAAUAAAUAUUUUAUAUUAUUAUUCUUAUUUUUAUCUCAAUAUAAUUGGUAAUAAUAAUAAUCUCUUUAAAGUUAAUGAUUUAAUUUCCUAAUUAAUAAUGACAAAUUUGAAUUUUUAUAAUAUAAAUGAAGAUAUUUAUGGAAUUGCCUGAAGUAUAAAAUUGAUUCUCAAAAUAAGAUUUUGAAAAGUCACUCCUCACCUUUUUAAAAAUUUACUAUAGAAUAAAGUGAUUUUACCAAAUUUCUAAAACAAUUUGUGAAACACUAAAAUUAGUUUUUAACUUUUCAAAAUUACUUAUAAACCUUCCAAAAAUAAUUUGUUAAAUGGGCCCUAAGAAAUAAGAUCCAAGAGUGAUAACAAAUAACUAAACCCCCAUUAACUUACACUUGACAUAUAUAACUUUCAUAAUAAUAGUAGUUGAAGACCAUAAUACCAUAAUAUCAAAUGAAACUUAAAUCUAAACAAGUUAUAAUACCGUAAUAUCAAAUGGAACUUAAUUUAAACAAUUUAACUCAUAUAGCAAUGAUGUAACUGUAGUAUGAAAUUUAAUCUAACUAAAAAAUAUAAAAAUUUUAAAUUUACUCUUUUGUGUAGAUAAUUCAUAUAAAUCAUUUUAAAAAAUGAAGAACAUCAAAGGCAAAGCGAGAUUUAAGAAGAUAGUAGGUAUUGAACCUUGAAUGUGACCAUGAGAGAUAGUGAGAAAAUUAUUGGCCUUAACCAAUUAAAUUAAAUUGGUUUAAAAAGGAAGGGAAAAAAAGAAGAAGCAUAGCCAAUCUAAUUGGGUUUAGGAUACUAAAAUUGAAAUUGAAUCAAUUUUGAUUCGACCCACUUGGUUGACGACUAAACUAGAUUUGAUUUGAGGGUCCGGCUAUAUUGCAACUGUGGUACCGUGCCACAGUUGCAACCAGCCAUUGUAUCCACUUGGAUGAGGGGUGCAACAGUGGAUCCAAGUGGAUCCAAUGACUGGUUGCAACUGUGGCAGGGUACCACAGUUGUAACAUAACCAAGUCCUUGAUUUGAACACCCGUACAUGUCCAACAAUGAAUUUGAACUUAUAAAAGAUUUAAUGUGUCCUUUAAUUUAAAAUUGAUUUGCUUUAGUUUUAUUGAUUUAAAAAAGGGGGAAAAUUCCAACAAUCAACCUUUUAAAAAUUUACAAUAUUAAAGUUCCUAAAAAGGUGCAUUUGUGUGACAACGGAUUAAUCGGUAUGAAAAUUAGUUUCAUAAACUAUGAUCAAAAUUAUUAGACUCGUUAUCAUUAUUUUUGGUCAAAUUCAAGGUUAAUUUUGAUAAUUAUUUAAAACUUAAAUAAAAAAUCACGUAACCAUGAUUGAAGUUGGGAAAUUCUAUUGAUUUUACAAAAUAUAUAUAUCUCAAUUAAACCAAAAUUUUUUCAUUAUUUCAAUUAAAAUUCAGUCAAAUUUUACGUUCUCACAAUUAUAUAAAUUUAAGAAAAGUUGAAAUUUCUUUCCCAACCUCUUAGUUUGUCGUUCAAUUUAAAAUAGAAAUAUAAUCACAUUAAAUUGAUUUAACAAUAAGUUACUUAAUAAAUAUUUAUUUAGUCCCUAUAUUUUGAUUUAAUCACCUGUUUAGUAUCUAUAUUUAAAAAGUACCUCAAAAUACCUUUUUAGUUAAAUAUGUUACAUUCUUACCAUUGUUUUUCUUUACUUUUACAAUAAUACUACUAGAAUAAUAUUCUUGACACUAAUUAAUUUAUUUAUAAAAAUUUAAUUAAUGAAUUAACCAUUAUUAAUAUGGAAGAACUAGUAUUUUUUGAACCCAUGCAAUAGUCUUGUUAAUAAUUUAUGUAUAAAUAAAUUAACAUCAGCCAAAUUAAAGUAAUAUUUAAUAUCCUUACAAUAAUUUUACUAUUAGGUAUUUAUAAAAUAUUAAUUUACCAAAUUACACCUAAAAGUAAAAUAAUAACAUAAAAUUUAUGAAAUAUUUUAUUUUAUUUUUAAGGCUAAUUUGAUAAAUUAGUAUUUUUUUAAUAAUAUCCCCAAGAAAGUAUGAAUAUUAUUGUAGGGGUAUUAUUAUAAAAGAAAAGAAAAACAAGGGUAUGAGUGUAACAUAUUUAAUAAUAAAAAGUAUUUUAAAAUAUGUUUUAUAAUAUAGGAAUUAAAUGAGCAUCUAACUCAAAAAGUAUGAUGAUUAAACAAACAUUUAUCAUAAUUAUUUUUAUAGAAAAAUAUCAGUAAAAUAAAAAAAAAAUUAAUUAAACAUGAUUUUUGGUAAUUAGGCGAGAGAUAUGCUCCAAAAUUUAGCAACAAAACAAAAAGUAUAUGUCGUGCAUGAGCGUGGAUUGUAAUGGAUGAGGAUGCAUGGGUUAACGUAUUAUACCGUUGCCACGUGUAAGCAGUUUGUUGGUGGUGAGGUGAUAGAGUUACCAGAGCUGUUAUUAUCCAAUGCGGUGACAGACACACAGGCUCCUUGAGAAGGGCAUCAUUCUAAACGUUGCACGAGUGCCGCAAACGCAAAAAGGCACACGUAGGGAAAUAUAACACUCGCGUCCUUUAAAUGCCACGUGUCUUCAUGAAACGGUGUCGUCGUCAGCUGUUUCGAGACUAUUCAAACUUGGUUUCAUGAAUCGCGAUCAUGUAUGUAUAGAUAAAAAUGAAAGUUGAAAUUGGGUGGAUGGAGAUUGUGAAGACGAAAAGGACAAAGAAAAAUCUAUCCAUCACGUGCGCAAAUUGGAUUUAUAUACAAUUAAAAGCCAAAAAGAAAUAAAAUCAAACAUCAUCUAAUAACCAAAAUUUUUAUUUUUCUUUUAGAAAAAGGUUUAGUUAAUAAAUGAACAUUUUGUAAAAUUCUUGUUUAAAAAGGGCACGUCUUUGUUGACAUUCACGUUUCGAAUUUCGAAAUUGCAUGUGUAAUGGGAUAGAAAUUUAGGUAAAAAACAAAAGUCUGUGGCUGCAUUCUAUAAACAAAGGUGGUCACGUGAUUGACCUGCAACGUAAAUCAUAUAAAAAAACCACAUUAUGAUUGAUGGAUUGCUGUUACACCAGACCGAUAAAAGGUUGUUGUUACACCUUUAUUAUUUUUAAUUUUUUUGAAUUAUUAUUUAUAGUAAAUAGGGUUUUGCUAAGGUAUAUCGAAUGUAACUUAGAACAAAUACAGGAUUCAUGAUUUCUCACUAAUUUCAUAUAUUAUCAUUCUCUUGUAUUGAGUAACUACUUUUGAGUUGUUAGCUUGGGAGGAAAUUUGGAAGCUAACAUGCACUAAUAACUUGAUGAGAUGUGGCUAAAAAAAGUCAAUUAAAUUAGAGUUUGCUAAUUUGACUAAAUGAUAGGAUAGCUUAUGAAUGUUAGAAGAUAAGCUCUUAGGGAAAAAGGAUAAUUAUGGUAAAUAUGCUCAAACACCAACGAGUAUUAUCAAAACUCAAAUUUAGCAGUUAGAGCCAACAUGUGAACAAUGUAUGCCAUCAUAAAAAAAAUGAAAUAUUUCUUUUUUGGGCUAAAAAGGAAGAACUAAUAAUAAUAAAGAUUAUUUUCAUAAAGCAAUAAGAGGGAAUCACAUUGUUGUCCUUUGAUAUCGCUUGAAAAGUAGAAGGAUCACAAUGUUAAAAGUAGGGAUGUUCAGAAUCCAAUCCGAUCCGCUCAAUCAGUCUGAUCCGCUGAAUUCGAUCCGUAUAAAUCCGAUCCGUGGAUUGGUGGAUUGGAUAUGAAUUGAAAAUUUAAAAAUCCGCAGUCGAUGGAUUAGAUAUGAAUUUACUUCUUGCAGAAAUCCGUGAAUCCGCAAAAUAUAUAUAUAUAAUUAAAAAAUUAUUAUAAAUUUAAUUAAAAAAUUAUAAACGUGACAUUGCAUAGUUACUAAGCACUAUAACAUAUCUUAGCCAUUACCCAAUAAUAAUAUAAAAUAAAAAAUAAUUAAAUAAUCAAAUAUACAAAUAUAACUUGUAAAAAUUGUAAAACAAAAUAAAAGUAGAGUCACACGCACUAGCAAAAGCAAAAUAACAUAACGCCAAGUCACCAACAAUUUGCAAACAAAAAACCCUAAGCUCCCCCGCCGUCACACACACUAGCAACACUCAAUACUGGUUGGAUACACUCUCGACACAAAUUUAAAGGACAUCGGCCGCGCGAUUCUGGUGAGAGCAAACCAUCUUCUUUCCUAAGUCCAUCGAGCCACUUCACAUUCACUGGUUCCAGCAGAACAAUUUCACUAUCACAACCUUCAAGAUUGCCACCCGUACGGCUUCUCCUGGUUCCCAUCAUGGAUGGCUCUGUAAUCACUACUUUUCGACAGGCGCAACAGCCCUGGUGAAGGAUCAGACUGUGUUUGGUUUCCGAAACUUCAUCAUUUCAAUUAAUUGUGACUUUAUUUGAACAAUUAAUUUCGGUACUAUAUUAACAUAUUAUUGUAACUUUAUUUGAACAAUUAAGCUUGGUGUGUUAUAUUUUGAAACUUUGAACGUAUUAUUGUAGCUUUAUUUGAAUAAUUAGUCUCAAUGUGUUAUAUUUUGAAACUUCAAAUGUAUUAUUUUAGAUUUAUUUAAAUAAUUAAUUUAUUUAAAAUUUAUUCAAUUUUUUAAUUGGUAGUCCGCAGACGUAUGGAUUGGAUAUGGAUUGAGUUAAAUCCGCAUCCGAUCCGUAGAUGUAUGGAUUGGAUUUGGAUUGAAUUUUAUCAAUCCGUGGAUUGGAUUAGAUUGAAAAAUUAUAAUCCGUAAAAUCAUGGAUCAGAUAUGGAUUGAUGUCCAAUUUGUAAAAUCCGAUCCGCGAACACCCAUAGCUAAAAGCAUGCAACGUGGCGAAUUAUAAAGUCAAAAAAGAGGCUGAAAGUU